CCUACGGGUGGCUGCAGUAGGGAAUAUUGCGCAAUGGAGGAAACUCUGACGCAGCGACGCCGCGUGGGUGAUGAAGGCUUUCGGGUCGUAAAGCCCUGUCGGCAGGGAAGAAAAAUCUUAUGGCUAAUAUCCAUAGGACUUGACGGUACCUGCAGAGGAAGCACCGGCUAACUACGUGCCAGCAGCCGCGGUAAUACGUAGGGUGCUAGCGUUGUUCGGAAUCAUUGGGCGUAAAGCGCGUGUAGGCUGUCAAGUAAGUCUUGUGUGAAAUCCCU
Molecule: ribosomal RNA, 275 nt
Filed under: uncultured bacterium
Lineage: Bacteria
Description: partial 16S ribosomal RNA
Rfam family: Bacterial small subunit ribosomal RNA
Source: RNAcentral